UACAGAGACUGCAAGCGUUAUUCGGAUUCACUGGGCGUAAAGGGUGCGCAGGCGGCCGUGUGUGUAAGGUGUGAAAUCCCGGGGCUCAACCCCGGAACUGCGCCUUAAACUACAUGGCUAGAGUACUGGAGAGGGUAGCGGAAUUCACGGUGUAGCAGUGAAAUGCGUAGAUAUCGUGAGGAACACCAGAGGCGAAGGCGGCUACCUGGACAGUUACUGACGCUCAGGCACGAAAGCGUGGGGAGCAAAAGGG
RNAcentral lists this ribosomal RNA (253 nucleotides) under uncultured bacterium. RNAcentral describes it as "partial 16S ribosomal RNA". It matches the Rfam family "Bacterial small subunit ribosomal RNA", at positions 524 to 776 of the family's 1533-position model. The record is from RNAcentral.